AUAAUUCAAAACCAAACAAGGAAUGACCUUCAAGCCAUGUUCAACAUAGGAAAUUGCUCCUAUCUGGAUUCAUGGAGGAUGUCUAAGCUUUAGGUCAGAGUCAUAUUUUAUUUCAAGAUUGGUAACUUGACGAUCCCAGCCUCACAUGCAAAUCCAGGCUUUGGCUCUCUAGGCAGCAGAGGAGGAGCUGGUGUCUGAGCUGAGUCCUAACCGGUCGAGAGGUUUUUCCAUCAGACCUGUCUGUGCUUUUCAAACCGUGCUCUUAAAGUCCCACAUUUUCAAGAUGAAGCUGUGGGGUCUUCCAUGAAGCCGGGAAGAAGAAGUU
RNAcentral lists this long non-coding RNA (325 nucleotides) under Sus scrofa (pig). Its description in RNAcentral is "lncRNA (ENSSSCG00055013669.1)". Lineage: Eukaryota; Metazoa; Chordata; Mammalia; Artiodactyla; Suidae. The record is from RNAcentral.